GCCAGGAAUGGUGGCCCAUGCCUGUCAUCCCAGCAGCUUGGGAGGCUGAGGCAGGAGGAUCGAGUUCAAAGCCAGCCUCAGCAACUUAGCAAGGCUCUAAGCACCUCAGUGAGACCCUGUCUCUA
RNAcentral lists this small RNA (125 nucleotides) under Marmota monax (woodchuck). Lineage: Eukaryota; Metazoa; Chordata; Mammalia; Rodentia; Sciuridae. The record is from RNAcentral.